Molecule: non-coding RNA, 120 nt
Organism: Equus caballus (horse)
Lineage: Eukaryota; Metazoa; Chordata; Mammalia; Perissodactyla; Equidae
Source: Rfam
GUCUAUGGCCAUACCACCCUGAACGCGCCCGAUCUCGUCUGAUGUCAGAAGCUAAGCAGGGUCGGGCCUGGUUAGUACUUGGAUGGGAGAGUGGGCACGAGGUAAGAGCCACUGCAGGCC